This 994-nucleotide ribosomal RNA is filed under the name Pseudomonas putida. RNAcentral describes it as "bacterial SSU rRNA". It matches the Rfam family "Bacterial small subunit ribosomal RNA", at positions 37 to 1013 of the family's 1533-position model. The record is from RNAcentral. Lineage: Bacteria; Pseudomonadati; Pseudomonadota; Gammaproteobacteria; Pseudomonadales; Pseudomonadaceae.
UGGCACAAUGCGAGACAUACCUCCAAUCGAGCGAUGACGGGGAGCUUGCUCCUUGAUUCAGCGGCGGACGGGUGAGUAAUGAAAAAGGAAUGAUGCCUGGUAGUGGGGGACAACGUUUCGAAAGGAACGCUAAUACCGCAUACGUCCUACGGGAGAAAGCAGGGGACCUUCGGGCCUUGCGCUAUCAGAUGAGCCUAGGUCGGAUUAGCUAGUUGGUGGGGUAAUGGCUCACCAAGGCGACGAUCCGUAACUGGUCUGAGAGGAUGAUCAGUCACACUGGAACUGAGACACGGUCCAGACUCCUACGGGAGGCAGCAGUGGGGAAUAUUGGACAAUGGGCGAAAGCCUGAUCCAGCCAUGCCGCGUGUGUGAAGAAGGUCUUCGGAUUGUAAAGCACUUUAAGUUGGGAGGAAGGGCAGUAAGCUAAUACCUUGCUGUUUUGACGUUACCGACAGAAUAAGCACUGGCUAACUCUGUGCCAGCAGCCGCGGUAAUACAGAGGGUGCAAGCGUUAAUCGGAAUUACUGGGCGUAAAGCGCGCGUAGGUGGUUUGUUAAGUUGGAUGUGAAAGCCCCGGGCUCAACCUGGGAACUGCAUCCAAAACUGGCAAGCUAGAGUACGGUAGAGGGUGGUGGAAUUUCCUGUGUAGCGGUGAAAUGCGUAGAUAUAGGAAGGAACACCAGUGGCGAAGGCGACCACCUGGACUGAUACUGACACUGAGGUGCGAAAGCGUGGGGAGCAAACAGGAUUAGAUACCCUGGUAGUCCACGCCGUAACGAUGUCAACUAGCCGUUGGAAUCCUUGAGAUUUUAGUGGCGCAGCUAACGCAUUAAGUUGACCGCCUGGGGGAGUACGGGCCGCAGGUUAAAACUCAAAUGAAUUGGACGGGGGGCCCGGCACAAGCGGGUGGAAGCAUGGUGGCUUUAAAUUCGAAGCCACGCGGAGGAGCUUACCAGGGCCUUGUAACAUUGCAAAGAACCUUUUCAAGGAGAAU